AGGUAAUACAGUUAGGUUUUUGAUGUAAGAUGUUAACUCAAAGACAUACCCAUAUUGAACUCCUGCUGCCAGCGGACUACAGACUGCGUGUGACCGAGAUCGCAAGUCACUGUGUGCAUUGUCCCAUAAUCUUUGCUUUAAAACCUUUUGGGCGCCUUCAUAGCCCAGGUAAUGCAGUUGGGGGGGGGGGAGACAGACCAAUAGAGGUGGCUUUUUUAGCCAUGGUUUUCUGCCAUUUGCUGACAAAUUCCUCAUUGGUCAAAUGUUGGUACAGACCCUUCCCUAGAUUAAACACUGAAAUCCUGAGCCAAUGUUUUAGGGCAGCCCACCAUGCUCUAGCUGAAAUUGGGCAUUCACCAGCUUCCAACAGAAGUACGGAGUUAGGGACGCAGUUAGGUACCUGCAGCAGAGAUUGUAUAAAUUUUGCCUGAAAGCCAUCUAGCUUUGGCAGGUCCCCAUUAUGCCAGACAUUUGCUGCAUACAGGAGUUGGGAAACGGGCUUUGCGUUGAAAACCCUUAAGGCUGCUGGAACAUAUUUGCCACCCUUUGUGAAGAAGAAUCUAUGUAUGGCUAGCUUUGUAAUCUCCGCCUUUUGAAGGGAGGUUUGCCAAUGGUGCUUCCAAGAUCCUGUAUGAUGGAAUGUGAGCCCUAGGUAACUGAAGUAUUUUACCUGUUCAAGGUUAUGGCCAUCCAGCACCCAUUUAGACUGGGAGAAUCUUCUUUCGAAGACUAAAAUUUUAGAUUUUUCAUAAUUAAUGGAUAAACCAUUUCCAGAACAGUAAUCAGAAAAUUUCCUCAACAGAUAAUUCAA
Molecule: non-coding RNA, 811 nt
Organism: Podarcis lilfordi (Lilford's wall lizard)
Lineage: Eukaryota; Metazoa; Chordata; Lepidosauria; Squamata; Lacertidae
Source: the annotation of a GenBank genome assembly